AGUAGCUAAGUGGUAUAGCAGAGGACUAAAAAUCCUCGUGUCGUGGGUUCGAUUCCCACC
This 60-nucleotide transfer RNA is filed under the name uncultured Faecousia sp. It matches the Rfam family "tRNA", at positions 7 to 64 of the family's 71-position model. Rfam says of the family: Transfer RNA (tRNA) molecules are approximately 80 nucleotides in length. Their secondary structure includes four short double-helical elements and three loops (D, anti-codon, and T loops). The record is from RNAcentral. Lineage: Bacteria; Bacillati; Bacillota; Clostridia; Eubacteriales; Oscillospiraceae.